RNAcentral lists this transfer RNA (71 nucleotides) under Cordylochernes scorpioides. Its description in RNAcentral is "tRNA-Gly". It matches the Rfam family "tRNA". From Rfam's summary of the family: Transfer RNA (tRNA) molecules are approximately 80 nucleotides in length. Their secondary structure includes four short double-helical elements and three loops (D, anti-codon, and T loops). Further hydrogen bonds mediate the characteristic L-shaped molecular structure. tRNAs have two regions of fundamental functional importance: the anti-codon, which is responsible for specific mRNA codon recognition, and the 3' end, to which the tRNAs corresponding amino acid is attached (by aminoacyl-tRNA synthetases). tRNAs cope with the degeneracy of the genetic code in two manners: having more than one tRNA (with a specific anti-codon) for a particular amino acid; and 'wobble' base-pairing, i.e. permitting non-standard base-pairing at the 3rd anti-codon position. The record is from RNAcentral. Lineage: Eukaryota; Metazoa; Arthropoda; Arachnida; Pseudoscorpiones; Chernetidae.
GAAUCGGUGGUUCAGUGGUAGAAUGCUCGCCUGCCACGCGGGCGGCCCUGGUUCGAUACCCGGCCGAUGCA